CCCCUCUUAUACUAAGUACAUAUUGUAGGGUGUAGAAUCUCAAACUUUCAGAAACCCUUUAGGCCUCUCAACCUUUUCUAACAUAUAUUUCAAUAUCCAUAGGUGAUCUAAUGUUUAGAUAUCUAGUAGUUUAUCACUUUAUCUGCCUUUCUUACUUAUUUCAUUGUGUUUUCCUUCCUUCUCCUUUGUCUUAGUAGAUAGUGUUUUACUACCUUGCUUUCUUUCUUGUCUGAUAACUCUCUCUCUCUCUCCCCCUUGCUAGUUAGUAGUUUUAUUCCCCUGCCUACUGAUCCUCCUCUUCUAGUUAUCUUUCACUUUGCCCCUUCACAAUCUUUUCUGGUUUUUUUUUCAAAGAAAAGUUGGAAGGGUUUUCUACUUUAGUCAUAAUCUUCUAUAGCUGAUUGCUUUAGUUUUUUAGGGUCAAUCCAUGUUACAUUACCUGUUAGCAAUACAGUAAGUCCUUGAUGUUCUUCCAUUAUUCUGCCUUUGGUAAAUGCUUCUUUCCUUUAGUCUUCACUCGGCUUAUCUUCCAUGGAGAAUGUUGAUCAUACCAUGCUCCGGCAUCAAGGUCGGCGAAAUGGCAUCAGCUGCUUUGUUCGAAGGUGUGGUCAUGGCCUUCCAAAGUUGUUAGUUAGAAUGCAAAUCAGUUCAGUUAUUUGUUUUGUUGUGUUUAUUUAUGUGCUUUAUAGUUCGAUAAUCCUUUGGAAAUAGAGUUUGUGACUAUGAUAUCUAUAAUGCUACUAUGUUGGUAUUUGUAAUUCUACUAUGUUAUUAUCAGAAUUAAGUACUUGUUAUUUAUAUAGCAUUUUCUUGGAAA
This is a non-coding RNA of Arachis ipaensis, 817 nucleotides long. The record is from RefSeq and is a predicted model, not a curated record. NCBI's taxonomy places the organism in Eukaryota, Viridiplantae, Streptophyta, Magnoliopsida, Fabales, Fabaceae.